UGAGGGAAAGGCGAAAAGAACCCCGGCGAGGGGAGUGAAAAAGAACCUGAAACCGUGUACGUACAAGCAGUGGGAGCACGCUUAGGCGUGUGACUGCGUACCUUUUGUAUAAUGGGUCAGCGACUUAUAUUCUGUAGCAAGGUUAACCGAAUAGGGGAGCCGAAGGGAAACCGAGUCUUAACUGGGCGUUAAGUUGCAGGGUAUAGACCCGAAACCCGGUGAUCUAGCCAUGGGCAGGUUGAAGGUUGGGUAACACUAACUGGAGGACCGAACCGACUAAUGUUGAAAAAUUAGCGGAUGACUUGUGGCUGGGGGUGAAAGGCCAAUCAAACCGGGAGAUAGCUGGUUCUCCCCGAAAGCUAUUUAGGUAGCGCCUCGUGAAUUCAUCUCCGGGGGUAGAGCACUGUUUCGGCAAGGGGGUCAUCCCGACUUACCAACCCGAUGCAAACUGCGAAUACCGGAGAAUGUUAUCACGGGAGACACACGGCGGGUGCUAACGUCCGUCGUGAAGAGGGAAACAACCCAGACCGCCAGCUAAGGUCCCAAAGUCAUGGUUAAGUGGGAAACGAUGUGGGAAGGCCCAGACAGCCAGGAUGUUGGCUUAGAAGCAGCCAUCAUUUAAAGAAAGCGUAAUAGCUCACUGGUCGAGUCGGCCUGCGCGGAAGAUGUAACGGGGCUAAACCAUGCACCGAAGCUGCGGCAGCGACGCUGAUGCGUUGUUGGGUAGGGGAGCGUUCUGUAAGCCUGCGAAGGUGUGCUGUGAGGCAUGCUGGAGGUAUCAGAAGUGCGAAUGCUGACAUAAGUAACGAUAAAGCGGGUGAAAAGCCCGCUCGCCGGAAGACCAAGGGUUCCUGUCCAACGUUAAUCGGGGCAGGGUGAGUCGACCCCUAAGGCGAGGCCGAAAGGCGUAGUCGAUGGGAAACAGGUUAAUAUUCCUGUACUUGGUGUUACUGCGAAGGGGGGACGGAGAAGGCUAUGUUGGCCGGGCGACGGUUGUCCCGGUUUAAGCGUGUAGGCUGGUUUUCCAGGCAAAUCCGGAAAAUCAAGGCUGAGGCGUGAUGACGAGGCACUACGGUGCUGAAGCAACAAAUGCCCUGCUUCCAGGAAAAGCCUCUAAGCAUCAGGUAACAUCAAAUCGUACCCCAAACCGACACAGGUGGUCAGGUAGAGAAUACCAAGGCGCUUGAGAGAACUCGGGUGAAGGAACUAGGCAAAAUGGUGCCGUAACUUCGGGAGAAGGCACGCUGAUAUGUAGGUGAAGUCCCUUGCGGAUGGAGCUGAAAUCAGUCGAAGAUACCAGCUGGCUGCAACUGUUUAUUAAAAACACAGCACUGUGCAAACACGAAAGUGGACGUAUACGGUGUGACGCCUGCCCGGUGCCGGAAGGUUAAUUGAUGGGGUUAGCGCAAGCGAAGCUCUUGAUCGAAGCCCCGGUAAACGGCGGCCGUAACUAUAACGGUCCUAAGGUAGCGAAAUUCCUUGUCGGGUAAGUUCCGACCUGCACGAAUGGCGUAAUGAUGGCCAGGCUGUCUCCACCCGAGACUCAGUGAAAUUGAACUCGCUGUGAAGAUGCAGUGUACCCGCGGCAAGACGGAAAGACCCCGUGAACCUUUACUAUAGCUUGACACUGAACAUUGAGCCUUGAUGUGUAGGAUAGGUGGGAGGCUUAGAAGUGUGGACGCCAGUCUGCAUGGAGCCGACCUUGAAAUACCACCCUUUAAUGUUUGAUGUUCUAACGUUGACCCGUAAUCCGGGUUGCGGACAGUGUCUGGUGGGUAGUUUGACUGGGGCGGUCUCCUCCUAAAGAGUAACGGAGGAGCACGAAGGUUGGCUAAUCCUGGUCGGACAUCAGGAGGUUAGUGCAAUGGCAUAAGCCAGCUUGACUGCGAGCGUGACGGCGCGAGCAGGUGCGAAAGCAGGUCAUAGUGAUCCGGUGGUUCUGAAUGGAAGGGCCAUCGCUCAACGGAUAAAAGGUACUCCGGGGAUAACAGGCUGAUACCGCCCAAGAGUUCAUAUCGACGGCGGUGUUUGGCACCUCGAUGUCGGCUCAUCACAUCCUGGGGCUGAAGUAGGUCCCAAGGGUAUGGCUGUUCGCCAUUUAAAGUGGUACGCGAGCUGGGUUUAGAACGUCGUGAGACAGUUCGGUCCCUAUCUGCCGUGGGCGCUGGAGAACUGAGGGGGGCUGCUCCUAGUACGAGAGGACCGGAGUGGACGCAUCACUGGUGUUCGGGUUGUCAUGCCAAUGGCACUGCCCGGUAGCUAAAUGCGGAAGAGAUAAGUGCUGAAAGCAUCUAAGCACGAAACUUGCCCCGAGAUGAGUUCUCCCUGACUCCUUGAGAGUCCUGAAGGAACGUUGAAGACGACGACGUUGAUAGGCCGGGUGUGUAAGCGCAGCG
This 2396-nucleotide ribosomal RNA is filed under the name Escherichia coli. RNAcentral's name for it is "bacterial LSU rRNA". It matches the Rfam family "Bacterial large subunit ribosomal RNA", at positions 504 to 2880 of the family's 2925-position model. The record is from RNAcentral. Lineage: Bacteria; Pseudomonadati; Pseudomonadota; Gammaproteobacteria; Enterobacterales; Enterobacteriaceae.